Molecule: ribosomal RNA, 878 nt
Filed under: Fulvifomes fastuosus
Lineage: Eukaryota; Fungi; Basidiomycota; Agaricomycetes; Hymenochaetales; Hymenochaetaceae
Description: eukaryotic LSU rRNA
Rfam family: Eukaryotic large subunit ribosomal RNA
Source: RNAcentral
UAACAAGGAUUCCCCUAGUAACUGCGAGUGAAGCGGGAAGAGCUCAAAUUUAAAAUCUGGCGGCUUCUAGUCGUCCGAGUUGUAACCUGGAGAGGCAUUUUCCGCGUUGGACCGUGUACAAGUCUCCUGGAAUGGAGCGUCAUAGAGGGUGAGAAUCCCGUCCAUGACACGGACCGCCAAUGCUCUGUGAUAUGCCUUCAAAGAGUCGCGUUGUUUGGGAAUGCAGCGCAAAAUGGGUGGUAAAUUCCAUCUAAAGCUAAAUAUUGGCGAGAGACCGAUAGCGAACAAGUACCGUGAGGGAAAGAUGAAAAGCACUUUGAAAAGAGAGUUAAACAGUACGUGAAAUUGUUGAAAGGGAAACGCUUGAAGUCAGUCGCGUUCCGUGGAACUCAGCCUUACUUCGGUUUGGUGUACUUUCCAUGUGAACGGGUCAACGUCAAUUUUGACCGGUGGACAAAGACAAAGGGAAUGUAGCGUUGCUUCGGUGACGUGUUAUAGCCCCUUGUUGUAUACACCGGCUGGGAUUGAGGACUGCAGCACGCCCUUGUGGCCGAGGGGUUCGCCCCUACGUACCGUGCUUAGGAUGUUGGCAUAAUGGCUUUAAGCGACCCGUCUUGAAACACGGACCAAGGAGUCUAACAUGCUUGCGAGUGUUCGGGUGGAAAACCCUUGCGCGUAAUGAAAGUGAAAGUUAGGAACCUUCUCGCAAGAGAGGGUGCACUGACGCCCGGCCCUGACGUUCUCUGACGGUGCUGCGGUAGAGCAAGUAUGUUGGGACCCGAAAGAUGGUGAACUAUGCCUGAAUAGGGCGAAGCCAGAGGAAACUCUGGUGGAGGCUCGUAGCGAUUCUGACGUGCAAAUCGAUCGUCAAAUUUGGG